Molecule: long non-coding RNA, 1084 nt
Organism: Aquila chrysaetos chrysaetos
Lineage: Eukaryota; Metazoa; Chordata; Aves; Accipitriformes; Accipitridae
Exons: 5
Source: RefSeq, a predicted model, not a curated record
CAUCAUCUUCCUCUGAGUGCCCUGUAUUUGUGGAAGCCUGAACUCAGAUACUUUCCCUCAGCAUGAACGGUCUAACUCCUGAGGUCCUGCAAUGGCUGUUCUACUUCCAGCAACUUUAAAAAUUCAAUUUUGUGUACCACAGUAUCAGUUCAUAAGAAUAAAAGGCCUUCUGGUUAUCAGAACUAGACCAUCCAGUUCAGCCUGUAAGGAGAAGAAGGUUUUAUCUGUGUGUGCAAAGGGAAGACUGCAGGGAGAGACUGUUUCAUGUCUGAACGGAGAUUGCCUAAGAAUGUCUGAACAGAAUUGCCUAAGAUCCAGGAAGACAGACCAGUCUCAAGAAUAUUCUUCACUCCUUUCCUGAGCUUCACAAAGCAGGUUUUGACUACUGGGCAAAGCUAUGGGUGGACCUGACUGAGCAGCAGCAUGUAGCAUAAGAGAUCUCCAAGCCAGAGAGAGACUGUGGUGCUGCAGAGAUGUGAGACAGUGGAAGUCCCCUGAACUCCUCAUAAGGCCCACAUGAGCACUGAAGAUGCCUUUUUGGUUAUGGCAAAGAAAAAACCCAUGAGACCCGAAUUUGUGAACCUGGCAUUCCUGAUUUCAACUGGAAUGAGACAAGGCAGCUAUUGUAAAUCAUGUCAGUAGCCUCCACUGACAGACAAUGUAUGUGAAAUGGGAGUCAGAUCCUAUUAGUCUCUUGGAUCAGCAAAAAUGAAAUCUAGGUUUCUCAUUGUAUUAAUUGAAAACUAGAUACUACGUAAGUGCCAGAAUUUUGCAUGAAGGAACAUAUUCCUAGUAACUAACAUGAUUUAGAGAAAAAAGGAAGGAAUUCACAUUCACCUCAUGUUUUCAGUAUUUCAGUCUUGAAAAAUGUUUGUCUGGGCUUUUCCUGUCAGUUUUGACCUGAGCUGGUUAGAGACUUGAAUGUCCAUAACUGCAGAGGAGUUUUUGAACCUGAAGUAAUUAUGUCAAAUAAUAACUAUUAUUUUUGCACUUCUAUAAGUUUUUUAGAACUGUGCUAACAUCGUCUAUAAAAACACCUUGCUGAAUGAAGGAUCUAAAGCAGAUUUUCAGCAAUGAUUGAAUC